This 2905-nucleotide ribosomal RNA is filed under the name Escherichia coli. Its description in RNAcentral is "23S ribosomal RNA". It matches the Rfam family "Bacterial large subunit ribosomal RNA". The record is from RNAcentral. Lineage: Bacteria; Pseudomonadati; Pseudomonadota; Gammaproteobacteria; Enterobacterales; Enterobacteriaceae.
GGUUAAGCGACUAAGCGUACACGGUGGAUGCCCUGGCAGUCAGAGGCGAUGAAGGACGUGCUAAUCUGCGAUAAGCGUCGGUAAGGUGAUAUGAACCGUUAUAACCGGCGAUUUCCGAAUGGGGAAACCCAGUGUGUUUCGACACACUAUCAUUAACUGAAUCCAUAGGUUAAUGAGGCGAACCGGGGGAACUGAAACAUCUAAGUACCCCGAGGAAAAGAAAUCAACCGAGAUUCCCCCAGUAGCGGCGAGCGAACGGGGAGCAGCCCAGAGCCNNNNNNNNNNNNNNNNNNAGUGGAAGCGUCUGGAAAGGCGCGCGAUACAGGGUGACAGCCCCGUACACAAAAAUGCACAUAUUGUGAGCUCGAUGAGUAGGGCGGGACACGUGGUAUCCUGUCUGAAUAUGGGGGGACCAUCCUCCAAGGCUAAAUACUCCUGACUGACCGAUAGUGAACCAGUACCGUGAGGGAAAGGCGAAAAGAACCCCGGCGAGGGGAGUGAAAAAGAACCUGAAACCGUGUACGUACAAGCAGUGGGAGCACGCUUAGGCGUGUGACUGCGUACCUUUUGUAUAAUGGGUCAGCGACUUAUAUUCUGUAGCAAGGUUAACCGAAUAGGGGAGCCGAAGGGAAACCGAGUCUUAACUGGGCGUUAAGUUGCAGGGUAUAGACCCGAAACCCGGUGAUCUAGCCAUGGGCAGGUUGAAGGUUGGGUAACACUAACUGGAGGACCGAACCGACUAAUGUUGAAAAAUUAGCGGAUGACUUGUGGCUGGGGGUGAAAGGCCAAUCAAACCGGGAGAUAGCUGGUUCUCCCCGAAAGCUAUUUAGGUAGCGCCUCGUGAAUUCAUCUCCGGGGGUAGAGCACUGUUUCGGCAAGGGGGUCAUCCCGACUUACCAACCCGAUGCAAACUGCGAAUACCGGAGAAUGUUAUCACGGGAGACACACGGCGGGUGCUAACGUCCGUCGUGAAGAGGGAAACAACCCAGACCGCCAGCUAAGGUCCCAAAGUCAUGGUUAAGUGGGAAACGAUGUGGGAAGGCCCAGACAGCCAGGAUGUUGGCUUAGAAGCAGCCAUCAUUUAAAGAAAGCGUAAUAGCUCACUGGUCGAGUCGGCCUGCGCGGAAGAUGUAACGGGGCUAAACCAUGCACCGAAGCUGCGGCAGCGACACUAUGUGUUGUUGGGUAGGGGAGCGUUCUGUAAGCCUGUGAAGGUGUGCUGUGAGGCAUGCUGGAGGUAUCAGAAGUGCGAAUGCUGACAUAAGUAACGAUAAAGCGGGUGAAAAGCCCGCUCGCCGGAAGACCAAGGGUUCCUGUCCAACGUUAAUCGGGGCAGGGUGAGUCGACCCCUAAGGCGAGGCCGAAAGGCGUAGUCGAUGGGAAACAGGUUAAUAUUCCUGUACUUGGUGUUACUGCGAAGGGGGGACGGAGAAGGCUAUGUUGGCCGGGCGACGGUUGUCCCGGUUUAAGCGUGUAGGCUGAUUUUCCAGGCAAAUCCGGAAAAUCAAGGCUGAGGCGUGAUGACGAGGCACUACGGUGCUGAAGCAACAAAUGCCCUGCUUCCAGGAAAAGCCUCUAAGCAUCAGGUAACAUCAAAUCGUACCCCAAACCGACACAGGUGGUCAGGUAGAGAAUACCAAGGCGCUUGAGAGAACUCGGGUGAAGGAACUAGGCAAAAUGGUGCCGUAACUUCGGGAGAAGGCACGCUGAUAUGUAGGUGAAGCGACUCGCUCGUGGAGCUGAAAUCAGUCGAAGAUACCAGCUGGCUGCAACUGUUUAUUAAAAACACAGCACUGUGCAAACACGAAAGUGGACGUAUACGGUGUGACGCCUGCCCGGUGCCGGAAGGUUAAUUGAUGGGGUUAGCGGUAACGCGAAGCUCUUGAUCGAAGCCCCGGUAAACGGCGGCCGUAACUAUAACGGUCCUAAGGUAGCGAAAUUCCUUGUCGGGUAAGUUCCGACCUGCACGAAUGGCGUAAUGAUGGCCAGGCUGUCUCCACCCGAGACUCAGUGAAAUUGAACUCGCUGUGAAGAUGCAGUGUACCCGCGGCAAGACGGAAAGACCCCGUGAACCUUUACUAUAGCUUGACACUGAACAUUGAGCCUUGAUGUGUAGGAUAGGUGGGAGGCUUUGAAGUGUGGACGCCAGUCUGCAUGGAGCCGACCUUGAAAUACCACCCUUUAAUGUUUGAUGUUCUAACGUUGACCCGUAAUCCGGGUUGCGGACAGUGUCUGGUGGGUAGUUUGACUGGGGCGGUCUCCUCCUAAAGAGUAACGGAGGAGCACGAAGGUUGGCUAAUCCUGGUCGGACAUCAGGAGGUUAGUGCAAUGGCAUAAGCCAGCUUGACUGCGAGCGUGACGGCGCGAGCAGGUGCGAAAGCAGGUCAUAGUGAUCCGGUGGUUCUGAAUGGAAGGGCCAUCGCUCAACGGAUAAAAGGUACUCCGGGGAUAACAGGCUGAUACCGCCCAAGAGUUCAUAUCGACGGCGGUGUUUGGCACCUCGAUGUCGGCUCAUCACAUCCUGGGGCUGAAGUAGGUCCCAAGGGUAUGGCUGUUCGCCAUUUAAAGUGGUACGCGAGCUGGGUUUAGAACGUCGUGAGACAGUUCGGUCCCUAUCUGCCGUGGGCGCUGGAGAACUGAGGGGGGCUGCUCCUAGUACGAGAGGACCGGAGUGGACGCAUCACUGGUGUUCGGGUUGUCAUGCCAAUGGCACUGCCCGGUAGCUAAAUGCGGAAGAGAUAAGUGCUGAAAGCAUCUAAGCACGAAACUUGCCCCGAGAUGAGUUCUCCCUGACUCCUUGAGAGUCCUGAAGGAACGUUGAAGACGACGACGUUGAUAGGCCGGGUGUGUAAGCGCAGCGAUGCGUUGAGCUAACCGGUACUAAUGAACCGUGAGGCUUAACCUU